Diospyros lotus (date-plum) is the source of this 3695-nucleotide long non-coding RNA. RefSeq lists it as uncharacterized. Lineage: Eukaryota; Viridiplantae; Streptophyta; Magnoliopsida; Ericales; Ebenaceae. The transcript has 3 exons. The record is from RefSeq and is a predicted model, not a curated record.
AAAAAAAAAGAAAUUUCUUUUUUCGACCAAAGUCGGGAAAAAUGAAGAAAUUACGCUUACGUCCUAUUGUUCGAUUUGAUCGCUAGUACUUUUGUUUCAACAUUAAACAAUCAAAAGGUUGUUCUAAUAACUAAAUUAAAGUGUAUUUUGAGUUCAAUUGACUUUUUGUGAACGAAUUACGACGAUUCGUCUUUUCGGCCUGAUUUUUAGCAACACAAAAAACUAUUUCGAUCAGAUUUUUUUCGAUGUCAUAAUAAUCGUAUCGAAAUUCUGGUUCGUUUCAUAGAAUUGUUUUUAGAUAUCUCGAUUUUGGAGCACUCCCUCCAAUCCAUUCGGUUACUCAUAAUUGUACCGAAAAUCAAGUUAAACCCCUAAUCUUUUGAAUAUUUCAAUUACACUUCCAAAUAAAACUACACUUAAAACCAUAUGAAAUUAGCUUAAUUCCACCAUUGAAAAUUGACAAAAAAAAAUGAAAUUUCUUUUUACGACGAAAGUCGGUAAAAAUGAGGAAAUUACGCUUACGUCCUAUUGUUCGAUUUGAUCGCUAGUACUUUUGUUUCAACAUUAAACAACCAAAAGGUUGUUCUAAUAACAAAAUUAAAGUGUAUUUUGUGUUCAAUUGACUUUUUGUGAACGAAUUACGACGAUUCGACUUUUCGGCCUGAUUUUUAGCUGCACAAAAAACUGUUUUCGAUCAGAUUUUUUUCGAUGUCAUAAUAAUCGUAUCGAAAUUCUGGUUCGUUUCAUAGAAUUGUUUUUAGAUAUCUUGAUUUCGGAGCACUCCCUCCAAUCCAUUCGGUUACUCAUAAUUGUACCGAAAAUCAAGUUAAACCCCUAAUCUUUUGAAUAUUUCAAUUACACUUCCAAAUAAAACUACACUUAAAACCAUAUGAAAUUAUCUUCAUUCCACCAUAAAAAAUUGACAAAAAAAAAAAGAAAUUUCUUUUUUCGACCAAAGUCGGGAAAAAUGAAUAAAUUACGCUUACGUCCUAUUGUUCGAUUUGAUCGCUAGUACUUUUGUUUCAACAUUAAACAACCAAAAGGUUGUUGUAAUAACAAAAUUUAAGUGUAUUUUGUGUUCAAUUGACUUUUUGUAAACGAAGUACGACGAUUCGACUUUUCGGCCUGAUUUUUAGCUGUACAAAAAACUGUUUCCGAUCAGAUUUUUUUUGAUGUCAUAAUAAUCGUAUCGAAAUUCUGGUUCGUUUCAUAUAAUUUUUUUUAGAUAUCUUGAUUUCGGAGCACUCCCUCCAAUCUAUUCGGUUACUCAUAAUUGUAUCGAAAAUCAAGUUAAAUCCCUAUUCUUUUGAAUAUUUCAAUUACGCUUCCAAAUAAAACUACACUUAAAACCAUAUGAAAUUAUCUUCAUUCCACAAUUGAAAAUAGAGAAAAAAAAAAAAAAAGAAACUUCUUUUUUAGACCAAAGUCGGGAAAAAUGAAGAAAUUACGCUUACGUCCUAUUGUUCGAUUUGAUCGCUAGUACUUUUGUUUCAACAUUAAACAACCAAAAGGUUGUUCUAAUAACUAAAUUAAAGUGUAUUUUGAGUUCAAUUGACUUUUUGUGAACGAAUUACGACGAUUCGUCUUUUCGGCCUGAUUUUUAGCUGCACAAAAAACUGUUUCCGAUCAGAUUUUUUUCGAUGUCAUAAUAAUCGUAUCGAAAUUCUGGUUCGUUUCAUAUAAUUGUUUUUAGAUAUCUUGAUUUCGGAGCACUCCCUCCAAUCCAUUCGGUUACUCAUAAUUGUACCGAAAAUCAAGUUAAACCCCUAAUCUUUUGAAUAUUUCAAUUACACUUCCAAAUAAAACUACACUUAAAACCAUAUGAAAUUAUCUUCAUUCCACCAUUGAAAAUUGACAAAAAAAAAAGAAAUUUCUUUUUUCGACCAAAGUCGGGAAAAAUGAAGAAAUUACGCUUACGUCCUAUUGUUCGAUUUGAUCGCUAGUACUUUUGUUUCAACAUUAAACAACCAAAAGGUUGUUCUAAUAACUAAAUUAAAGUGUAUUUUGAGUUCAAUUGACUUUUUGUGAACGAAUUACGACGAUUCGACUUUUCGGCCUGAUUUUUAGCUGCACAAAAAACUGUUUCCGAUCAGAUUUUUUUCGAUGUCAUAAUAAUCGUAUCGAAAUUCUGGUUCGUUUCAUAUAAUUGUUUUUAGAUAUCUUGAUUUCGGAGCACUCCCUCCAAUCCAUUCGGUUACUCAUAAUUGUACCGAAAAUCAAGUUAAACCCCUAAUCUUUUGAAUAUUUCAAUUACACUUCCAAAUAAAACUACACUUAAAACCAUAUGAAAUUAUCUUCAUUCCACCAUUGAAAAUUAACAAAAAAAAAAGAAAUUUCUUUUUUCGACCAAAGUCGGGAAAAAUGAAGAAAUUACGCUUACGUCCUAUUGUUCGAUUUGAUCGCUAGUACUUUUGUUUCAACAUUAAACAAUCAAAAGGUUGUUCUAAUAACUAAAUUAAAGUGUAUUUUGAGUUCAAUUGACUUUUUGUGAACGAAUUACGACGAUUCGACUUUUCGGCCUGAUUUUUAGCUGCACAAAAAACUGUUUUCGAUCAGAUUUUUUUCGAUGUCAUAAUAAUCGUAUCGAAAUUCUGGUUCGUUUCAUAUAAUUGUUUUUAGAUAUCUUGAUUUCGGAGCACUCCCUCCAAUCCAUUCGGUUACUCAUAAUUGUACCGAAAAUCAAGUUAAACCCCUAAUCUUUUGAAUAUUUCAAUUACACUUCCAAAUAAAACUACACUUAAAACCAUAUGAAAUUAUCUUCAUUCCACCAUUGAAAAUUGACAAAAAAAAAAAAAAGAAUUUUUUUUUUCGACCAAAGUCGGGAAAAAUGAAAAAAUUACGCUUACGUCCUAUUGUUCGAUUUGAUCGCUAGUACUUUUGUUUCAACAUUAAACAACCAAAAGGUUGUUCUAAUAACUAAAUUAAAGUGUAUUUUGAGUUCAAUUGACUUUUUUGUGAACGAAUUACGACGAUUCGACUUUUCUGCCUGAUUUUUAGCUGCACAAAAAACUGUUUCCGAUCAGAUUUUUUUCGAUGUCAUAAUAAUCGUAUCGAAAUUCUGGUUCGUUUCAUAUAAUUGUUUUUAGAUAUCUUGAUUUCGGAGCACUCCCUCCAAUCCAUUCGGUUACUCAUAAUUGUACCGAAAAUCAAGUUAAACCCUAAUCUUUUGAAUAUUUCAAUUACACUUCCAAAUAAAACUACACUUAAAACCAUAUGAAAUUAUCUUCAUUCCACCAUUGAAAAUUGACAAAAAAAAAAAGAAAUUUCUUUUUUCGACCAAAAGCGGGAAAAAUGAAAAAAUUACGCAUACGUCCUAUUGUUCGAUUUGAUCGCUAGUACUUUUGUUUCAACAUUAAACAAUCAAAAGGUUGUUCUAAUAACUAAAUUAAAGUGUAUUUUGAGUUCAAUUGACUUUUUGUGAACGAAUUACGACGAUUCGUCUUUUCGGCCUGAUUUUUAGCUGCACAAAAAACUGUUUCCGAUCAGAUUUUUUUCGAUGUCAUAAUAAUCGUAUCGAAAUUCUGGUUCGUUUCAUAUAAUUGUUUUUAGAUAUCUUGAUUUCGGAGCACUCCCUCCAAUCCAUUCGGUUACUCAUAAUUGUACCGAAAAUCAAGUUAAACCCCUAAUCUUUUGAAUAUUUCAAUUACACUUCCAAAUAAAACUACACUUAAAACCAUAUGAAAUUAUCUUCAUUC